This 108-nucleotide ribosomal RNA is filed under the name Heterosigma akashiwo. RNAcentral's name for it is "partial Microsporidia small subunit ribosomal RNA". Lineage: Eukaryota; Raphidophyceae; Chattonellales; Chattonellaceae. The record is from RNAcentral.
GCAUGUGUGUUUUAUGAGCCAUCUACAAGAACCUGCUCGUCAUUUCAAGCUGCUAUGCAAAGGCUGGGUGGCACCACAAUAUAUGUGACCGAGAGCAGCAGCAGCGUG